Molecule: small RNA, 326 nt
Filed under: Histoplasma capsulatum var. duboisii H88
Lineage: Eukaryota; Fungi; Ascomycota; Eurotiomycetes; Onygenales; Ajellomycetaceae
Description: Histoplasma capsulatum H88 hypothetical RNA
Source: RNAcentral
GAGCACUUGAUUCUUGCCUGAGCACCAUUUGUCGGGUGUGGUUGGAACCUGCAUCGAUUUACAGAACUCUUUUGUUUAAUAUCCCCCCUUCUACCCUGCGCAUUGCUUUGCGCACAGCAGGCGGUGGCAGGAUAUGUGUGGCUAUACAUCCCGUAGAAAAAGCAUGCCGUGCGCUGGCGAAAUGUAUGUUGAAAAACGUACAUAGGGGCAGCAGAUUGGACACAUAUACACAUCAGUAGAUUCUACCUAUGUAUGCUAUGAAGGAAAGGACAAGUAAACCAAGCGCUUGAUGUACUGUACCUUACUUAGUACACACAUAGCCCACC